AUUGAACGCUGGCGGCAGGCCUAACACAUGCAAGUCGAGCGGAUGAAGGGAGCUUGCUCCUGGAUUCAGCGGCGGACGGGUGAGUAAUGCCUAGGAAUCUGCCUGGUAGUGGGGGAUAACGUCCGGAAACGGGCGCUAAUACCGCAUACGUCCUGAGGGAGAAAGUGUGGGAUCUUCGGACCUCACGCUAUCAGAUGAGCCUAGGUCGGAUUAGCUAGUUGGUGGGGUAAAGGCCUACCAAGGCGACGAUCCGUAACUGGUCUGAGAGGAUGAUCAGUCACACUGGAACUGAGACACGGUCCAGACUCCUACGGGAGGCAGCAGUGGGGAAUAUUGGACAAUGGGCGAAAGCCUGAUCCAGCCAUGCCGCGUGUGUGAAGAAGGUCUUCGGAUUGUAAAGCACUUUAAGUUGGGAGGAAGGGCAGUAAGUUAAUACCUUGCUGUUCUGACGUUACCAACAGAAUAAGCACCGGCUAACUUCGUG
This 484-nucleotide ribosomal RNA is filed under the name uncultured bacterium. RNAcentral describes it as "partial 16S ribosomal RNA". It matches the Rfam family "Bacterial small subunit ribosomal RNA", at positions 30 to 507 of the family's 1533-position model. The record is from RNAcentral.